RNAcentral lists this ribosomal RNA (253 nucleotides) under uncultured bacterium. Its description in RNAcentral is "partial 16S ribosomal RNA". It matches the Rfam family "Bacterial small subunit ribosomal RNA", at positions 524 to 776 of the family's 1533-position model. The record is from RNAcentral.
UACAGAGGUCUCGAGCGUUAGGCGGAAUCACUGGGCUUAAAGCGUGUGUAGGCGGAUCGUUAAGUACCUUGUGAAAUCCCACGGCUUAACCGUGGAACUGCUUGGUAUACUGGCGGUCUUGAGCCAGCUAGGGGCUACCGGAACAAAUGGUGGAGCGGUGAAAUGCGUAGAUAUUGGGAAGAACACCAGUGGCGAAGGCGGCUAACUGGUCCAGAUCUGACGCUGAGGUGCGAAAGCGUGGGGAGCAAACAGG